ACAUCCUCUGAUCACUCUAGAGAUAGAGCUUUCCCCUUCGGGGGACAGAGUGACAGGUGGUGCAUGGUUGUCGUCAGCUCGUGUCGUGAGAUGUUGGGUUAAGUCCCGCAACGAGCGCAACCCUUGACCUUAGUUGCCAGCAUUCAGUUGGGCACUCUAAGGUGACUGCCGGUGACAAACCGGAGGAAGGUGGGGAUGACGUAGCUAAGCCUUC
RNAcentral lists this unclassified non-coding RNA (214 nucleotides) under uncultured Bacillaceae bacterium. Its description in RNAcentral is "contains 16S-23S intergenic spacer region". It matches the Rfam family "Bacterial small subunit ribosomal RNA", at positions 984 to 1194 of the family's 1533-position model. The record is from RNAcentral. Lineage: Bacteria; Bacillati; Bacillota; Bacilli; Caryophanales; Bacillaceae.